GUGGGCACAGCUCAGUGGUAGAGCACAUACUUGACUUGCAUGAGGUCCUGGGUUCAAUCCCAAGUUCCUCCA
Molecule: transfer RNA, 72 nt
Filed under: Camelus bactrianus (Bactrian camel)
Lineage: Eukaryota; Metazoa; Chordata; Mammalia; Artiodactyla; Camelidae
Also listed under: 2 other names
Rfam family: tRNA
About the family: Transfer RNA (tRNA) molecules are approximately 80 nucleotides in length. Their secondary structure includes four short double-helical elements and three loops (D, anti-codon, and T loops).
Source: Rfam by way of RNAcentral